AAAGAAAUUCUAGACAGUGCAUUCACUCUUAAAAACUUAUAGCAGGAUUUAACUGUGAACUCCCCUUGCUUCUCUAAUUUCCACACAAGUCUAUCAUUUAUGUCCUACAGUUGAACAGUGGCUAAAAGUUGUAAUAAGGUCUCAUAUUCCUCAAUCUCCCGAUCAUUCAAAUUCCUAUGCAUAUUCACCUCCAAACUGGUCUCCCUUCCACCAUCACAUAUGCCUCAUCCAUGGUCAUCAUCUUCGAUUGUGCAAUGGCAAAGAUACUAGGGAAUUGGUAUUUGAGUCAUCCAUUCCCAAUCCAUUUAUCUUUCCAAAAAACGGAUUUUAUUACCUUUCCCUAUUCUCUAUUGAAUACAAUCAUAGAACUGUUGUUAUCCAUCCCAAUCUUCUGCCACAAACCCGACCCAUGAAGUCUAACCAACUCCUUCACCACCCCACUCCUAUCCCCCUGCCC
Molecule: long non-coding RNA, 457 nt
Filed under: Carica papaya (papaya)
Lineage: Eukaryota; Viridiplantae; Streptophyta; Magnoliopsida; Brassicales; Caricaceae
Description: long non-coding RNA (CPAP_LNC001625)
Source: RNAcentral